This 709-nucleotide ribosomal RNA is filed under the name Marasmius tubulatus. RNAcentral's name for it is "eukaryotic LSU rRNA". The stretch from base 293 to 446 matches the Rfam family "5.8S ribosomal RNA". Lineage: Eukaryota; Fungi; Basidiomycota; Agaricomycetes; Agaricales; Marasmiaceae. The record is from RNAcentral.
UUGAAAAACUUUGUAGGUUGCAGUUGAGCUGGCCUCUCGGGGCAUGUGCUUGCUGUUGGCCUUCAAAAAUCUUCAUCCACCUGUGCACAUCUUGUAGGAGGGAAAGAUUGAUAACUUUGUCCAAUAAGUAGAGGAACUCCUGGCCUGGUUAGCUCUGGGCCUUUGUUGCUUGAACAUUGGAGGAAGGGAAGCGGUCUUUUCUUUCCUAUGUUUUUACACACACAAUUUGAAUGUUCAGAAUGUCUUAUAUUUAUUGAAGGGUGUAAAAACCUCUUCAUUAAAAACAUAAUACAACUUUCAGCAACGGAUCUCUUGGCUCUCGCAUCGAUGAAGAACGCAGCGAAAUGCGAUAAGUAAUGUGAAUUGCAGAAUUCAGUGAAUCAUCGAAUCUUUGAACGCACCUUGCGCCUCUUGGUAUUCCGAGAGGCAUGCCUGUUUGAGUGUCAUUAAAUUCUCAACUUCAAUAGUUUUUAUAACUUGUUGAAGCUUGGAUGUGGAGGUUUAUUGCUGGCUUUUUCAUUAAGCUGGCUCCUCUUAAAUGCAUUAGUGGAGACUGUUUGUGGUCCACAAUUAGUGUGAUAAUUAUCUACGCUAUUUGCUUGGUGCUGCACGCUCUGUAGUGUUUCGAUUGGGAAGCUGCAUGAAUCAAUGCUCUUUCUGCUUCAAUGAACCUGCAAAAGUGAAGUCCUUCUGCUUCUAACUGUCUUCU